Molecule: ribosomal RNA, 484 nt
Filed under: Ligia sp. Gulf North N
Lineage: Eukaryota; Metazoa; Arthropoda; Malacostraca; Isopoda; Ligiidae
Description: partial 16S ribosomal RNA
Rfam family: Bacterial large subunit ribosomal RNA
Source: RNAcentral
CGCCUGGUUUAAUCUAUCAGGUAGACUCUGCCCAAUGAAAUUUUAAUGGCCGCAGUAUCUUGACUGUGCUAAGGUAGCAUAAUAAUUUGUCUCUUAAUUGGAAACUUGGAUGAAUGAGUUGACGAAAAGAUCCCUGUCUCAAGGAGAGCAAAGAAAAUUUAUAUUCAGGUAAAAAAUCCUGAGAGCUGUAGAGGGACGAUAAGACCCUAAAAGCUUUACCCCUAGUUCCUGAAACUUUUCUAGUUGAAACAGGCUUACCGGGUUUUCACUGGGGCGGUGUCUCUAUUUGACUAGAGAAAUAAAAACACCCUGAGUGAAACCAACUACCUUUAUUUAGAUUACAAACAAAGUUACUUUAGGGAUAACAGCGUAAUUUUCUGAAAGAGCUCCUAUCGACCAGAGAGUUUACGACCUCGAUGUUGAAUUGAAGACUUGGCUAAAGCAGCAUUUAGCAGUAAGAAGACUGUUCGUCUUUUAAACCUUC